CGCGUGCACUGGUUCGGCCGGGCCUUUCCCUCUGGGGAGCCGCAUGCCCUUCACUGGGUGUGUCGGGGAACCAGGACUUUUACUUUGAACAAAUUAGAUCGCUUAAAGAAGGCCUAUGCUCGAAUACAUUAGCAUGGAAUAAUAGAAUAGGACGCGUGGUUCUAUUUUGUUGGUUUCUAGGACCGCCGUAAUGAUUAAUAGGGACAGUCGGGGGCAUCAGUAUUCAAUUGUCAGAGGUGAAAUUCUUGGAUUUAUUGAAGACUAACUACUGCGAAAGCAUUUGCCAAGGAUGUUUUCAUUAAUCAGGAACGAAAGUUAGGGGAUCGAAGACGAUCAGAUACCGUCGUAGUCUUAACCAUAAACUAUGCCGACUAGGGAUCGGACGAUGUUAUAUUUUGACUCGUUCGGCACCUUACACGAAAGUAGAGUUUCUGGGUUCUGGGGGGAGUAUGGUCGCAAGGCUGAAACUUAAAGAAAUUGACGGAAGGGCACCACCAGGGGUGGAGCCUGCGGCUUAAUUUGACUCAACACGGGGAAACUCACCAGGUCCAGACACAAGUAGGAUUGACAGAUUGAGAGCUCUUUCUUGAUUUUGUGGGUGGUGGUGCAUGGCCGUUCUUAGUUGGUGGAGUGAUUUGUCUGCUUAAUUGCGAUAACGAACGAGACCUUAACCUGCUAAAUAGCCCGCAUUGCUUUGGCAGUGCGCCGGCUUCUUAGAGGGACUAUCGG
RNAcentral lists this ribosomal RNA (729 nucleotides) under uncultured eukaryote. RNAcentral's name for it is "SSU rRNA". It matches the Rfam family "Eukaryotic small subunit ribosomal RNA", at positions 671 to 1426 of the family's 1831-position model. The record is from RNAcentral.